RNAcentral lists this ribosomal RNA (957 nucleotides) under Triticum aestivum (bread wheat). Its description in RNAcentral is "partial small subunit ribosomal RNA". Lineage: Eukaryota; Viridiplantae; Streptophyta; Magnoliopsida; Poales; Poaceae. The record is from RNAcentral.
AUGGCGGCCAGGGUGGCGUCAUCGUUGGCGAGGUGGCGGACCAUGAACGUCAUCAGGAUGGACGACGUGUCGUGGCCGGCGAUGAGGGCAACCAUGGCGUUGUCCACGAUCUCCUCGUCGCUCAGCAGCCGCUCGCCAUGGCCGUCCGUCAGGCCGAGCAGGCAGGUUAUGAGGUCGUUGCUCCGCUGCGCCUUGCCGUGCUCCGGCUGGCACCGGCUGGCCUUCUUCUCCCGCGUGAUCCCCGCCAGCACCCGACGGGCUCUGCCGCUGGCCUUGAGGCUCCGGCUGAACGCCGUGAACGGCAGGUUCACCGGGAUGGCCCACAUGCCCUUCAUCAUGUGCGCGAAGUCGCCGGCCAGCGCGUCCCGCACGGCGCCCCUCUCCAGGCCAAAGAGCAGCGCGGAGAUGAUGUCGAACGUCAGCCGCUUCAUCAGCGGCAGCACCGUCACGGUCCCGCGGCCGGCCCAGUUCUCCCCGACGUGGCGCCGCACCUCGGCGUCGAUCCCGCCCACGUACAUCUUGAGCAUGUCGGGCCUGAGGAACUCGAGCAGAGCACCGCGGACGCGCCGGUGGUCGGCACCAUGGAGGUCCAGGAUGCUGUUCUCUCCGAGUAUACGCUGCACGGACCGGGGCUGCCGCGUCGAAAGCGCGCUGCUGAAGAAGAGGAACUUGUUGGCCGCCGGUCCGGCCAGGAGCACCGUCGGCGUGCCGAACAGCGACAGCUUCGACACGGGCCCGUACAUGUCGAUCCGGUCCUGUACCCACCGGCUGCCGCCGUCGCCGCCGCGCAUGGCACGGAGGAGGCCGAGGCUCUGGCCGAUCACCGGCAGGCCGAGGGAGCCCGGGGGCAGGUUGGCCGGCCGUCUUUUCCUGGCCCUGGUGAGGAGGUGGAUGGCAAUGGACGAGGCGGCGACAACGAGUGCCACGACUAUGGCCAAAUUAUCCAUUGGAGAAUGA